CUCUCUUGGAAAACAGGGUAGCCACAUUCCCAAUUUCACGGUGAUGGAGAAGUCCCCGUAACGACCUUAUUUCGUUGUCGUUCCUUCGCAAAAGUUGCACAUCAUCACCUCCUAUAUGAUAUUCCCAAUAUAUCUGACCCAAACACCCAGCGUUCGUGGCCAAUUUUGGCUGGAACAGUCCAGUAAUCGCGGCUUGCUACAAAUCCAAUUUCAAGGCGACUUUCUGUCGCUGUAACGACUUUAUCUCACCAUCAUUCCUUCACGAAAGUUGCUCGGCAUCACCUUCUCUAUCAUCUCCCGAAAGUAUUCGACCCAAAAAGUCGGAGUUCAGGGCCAAUUUUGGCUAGAGCAGUCCAGCAGUCACGGCCUACCACAAACCCAAUUUCACGCCGACUUUCUGUUGCCUUAACGGCCUUAUGUCGCCAUCAUUCCUUUACGAAAGUUGCUUACCAUCACCUUCCCUAUCAUCUCCCCAAAACACCAGACCCGAAACAGCCGGAGUUUAACAGUCCAACAGUUCCUGUUUGUGAAUUGCAGUUUCCAUUUCUACAUUGCAGUUUCUGCUUCUGUGUAGCAGUUUCUGCUUCUGUAUUGCACUUUUCGCUUCUAUACUGUAGUUUCCGCUUCUACAUUGCAGUUUUCAUUUUGAUUGGUGGUUGAUGUGCAGAGUGUUGGGGUUUCAUUUGGACUGGAAAGGGAGUUUGCAUUGUGUGAGCUCGCACUAUAGCAUUUGCACUUUUUUUUAAUAGUGUUUGCUUGUUUGUGAAGAGAGAGUGGGUGUGUGUGUGUGUUGAUGGAAAAUUGGGGAUUGGAUACGGAGGAGCUGAGGUUAUGAUGCUUCUAACGCAGAACUACUAGGUUUUGCCUUAAUCGGAAGGAGGGGAGUUCUUUGACAUUUGCAUUGGUGGUGAGGUAUUUUUAGUUGAUCUCUCCAGUAUUAGUUUCAUUAUUAUCUAUUUUUUUUGUAUGUCUUCUCAUUUUGUUAUUGAACCACGCAACCUCAACGGAUUACAUUUGACCAAGAUAAAGUGACCUCAUUUUUUUAAAUAUGAACUUGUUAAGUGGCUUGUGGUUUGAUGUGUUGGAAUCUUUGGUAUUUAGAUAGCCUAUUGCUCGGUUGAUCAUUUUAGCAAACCCAUAAUUUAAUGUGAUGUCCGUUUGGCAAAAUGAGGAAUUCUAUCCUUUACUACGUCAAAUGUCGUCCUUGUGAGAUCAGUUUUGCACACACUGCAUUACUAAAUUGUUUUAUCAUUUCCUAGCAUUGGAAGUAGAAUCUUAUGAACAUUAAUAAUUAUAUAUUAUUGAUGAAAUAUAGUUUGUUUUUCAAUAAUGAAAAAUGAAAGAUUACAUUUUGAUUGGCCAAAGAAAACAAUAUUGAUUUCAUUACCAUUAUACCAACUCUUUAGUUUAGGUGAAUAAGAACAUGCAAUUUUAACCUGAAGCAACAUUUUUAUAAUUAAUCAAGUUCUCGGAGAUGAAGGGCGAUCUUCAAUUACACAAAAUCUUCUUCUUCUUUUUUUAGAAACUGCAUUGUCGACAAUAGAAACUACAUUGUAGAAAACAGAGACUGCAAUGCAGAAAACGGAAAUUGCAAUGUAGAAAUAGAAACUGCAACCCGGAAAACGAAAACUGCAAUGCGGAAAAUGGAAACUGCAGCGUAGUGUUUGGUUCCUCUCUUAUUAAUAUGUUUAUUUUUCCCAUACUAUGCAGUGUACUUUUUGUUUAUAUAAAAUUAGUUUGUGUUUUUGUUUUAAAAUCCCACUUAAAUAUGGGAAAUUUCGGUUUUUCUAGAAACUGCAGUGCAUUUUUCGAUCCUCUUUUUCUAUUGCAGUAUUCAUGUUUUGAUGUGAAGCUCAGUUUUUCUAUUGUUGAGGUAUGUAUAUUCUUGAUCAAAUUGUUAUUUGAAUUUUCUAGUUAUUUUUUGGUUUUUAUAUGUUAAUUUUUCUAGUACUUUCGUCAUGGUUUUGCCUUAGUUCCUCACUUAUUAGUAGGUGUAUUUUGGGAUGUGGCUUACUAGGCGAUGCAUUACAAUUUCUAAUUUUAUUAUAUGAUUUUAUUUGUUUUGGCUGUUUCUUACUAGCUGUUGGCAUGAAUUUUUUGGUUCUCAUUUUUUGUUUUUGUUUGAAAUUUCUGUUUACAUUAUUAAUAUCUACACUAUUUUGUUUUGCAUAACUCUAGAGCUAAGCAUGAGGGAUUUGGUACAAAUUUUGCACGUAUCGAUGUUGAAGCUACUUGGACAACCUUGUUCCUCCU
RNAcentral lists this long non-coding RNA (2253 nucleotides) under Prunus dulcis (almond). RNAcentral's name for it is "sRNA ncRNA". Lineage: Eukaryota; Viridiplantae; Streptophyta; Magnoliopsida; Rosales; Rosaceae. The record is from RNAcentral.